This 1995-nucleotide long non-coding RNA is filed under the name Pan troglodytes (chimpanzee). RNAcentral describes it as "long non-coding RNA NONPTRT001646". The record is from RNAcentral. Lineage: Eukaryota; Metazoa; Chordata; Mammalia; Primates; Hominidae.
GGGGGAUGUAUGCUCCAAGGUUGUGCCCACUCGGCACGACCCAGGUUCCAUGCUACAGGCCUCUGCUUGUCCAGACCUGAGGGUCAGAUUCAGAUGGUGCAAAUGUUUAAGACCUGGGUCUUCAACGAGAUGAAUUAUCAGCUAUUUCAUAGCUGCAGUGUUGGAUAUGCCGAGAUGAUAAAAGCAACAGCAAUCAGAAUCAACAGUUGAAACGACGUGGCAGACACUGUGAAUGCUAUGAACUGCUGUGCUGAGCAGCAGGAUUCCUGUGUCCUGGCGCAAUGCCCAUGGGGAUUCAUGCUUUCAGAGGGUCACGCCUCAGGAACACGUAGAAGGGCAAGCAUUUCAUCCGGCAGGGCACUGAUUUAAUCUGCACGCAUGUUUGGCUGUAAAACUAGCUCCUCCCCCUUACCAUUUUUGAGUCGCUGCCGGACUCAAAUUCCACAGAUUCUGGAAGGUGUCCAGGAACUCGUUGAUUUGUCAAACUUAUGGCUACACACAGCUGGAAUGGAGACGGACUCCACUGAAGAGACUCAUACAGGACAGGAGGGAAUUUUAAGAGGAUAACCCUGAUAUUCCCUGGCCAUUGAAAUCGACUACUUGUGUCAGAAUACAAAGCUACAUGAGAUGUGGUCCUUGUCCUCAAUAAGCACGCGAGUCAGGGAGUUGGAGGGGAGAUUAUGAGUAAGGAAGAAAUAUAGAGUUGAGACCAAUCUACAUAAGUCCAGGUUAAAGGGAAGCUUUUCCCGCCCUCCAGAAGACACAGGCAGUGGCUCAGGUGACCUGCCAGCAUGGAACCUGUCUCUCUCAACAAGAUUGAAAACAUCAAACCAAACCUGAAGCACUGAGAGGUUGGGUAACCAGCUCUGGUCACUGAGUUGGUGAGGGAUGGAUUCAGAAGAGGUCUCCAAUUGUGACACCGCAGAGGACCUGCUCUUGGCCACCACACUCUACCAGCUCUGCAAGAAGACCCACAGAGCCUGUGUGUGCGGCUGAGGUGCUCAGACUGGCAGGUGAAAUGACUUCAUUAGUGCCCUUGCUCCUGGUGGGAUGAGAGUGGGAACCCAGCCUUCUGAGUUGAAGAACUGGAACAAACAUCAGCCCUGACACAUUGAUGUCAGUUUACCUUUGUGAGAAACAGGAACGAAAUGUGAACAUCUAUUUCAGGGGGAAGAAAAUAGGGCUGUUUUGAGGAGAUGUGGCUGAGAAAACAGAAAAAGAGAAUUACAGGCCUGAAAUCCCAGCACUCUGGGAGGCUGAGGCCCCUGGCGCUGGUUCUCUCUGGAGGUUGAGUUUCCGUGGGGAGAGAAGAGUGCCCAGCGUGACCACCGUUGGCUGACUUCCCAUGCAUUAUUCCUUGUUUCCCCCGCUGGGGCCCAGCCCACCAGCCCCACAGUGCAUGAAGCCACUUAUCACCAAGGUUCCCAGAGAGGACGGGCUGGCCCAAGUCUGCAUUGUCACCUGCUUUGGGGAAAACAAAGCCCUUUCCCCCGCCCUCCCCACAGCAUGCUGGGCACAGGGCCAGCCCGUUCUAUGUUUUCAGUAAAUUUUCAAAACUGCUGGUUUUGGUGGCAGCUUUUGCAGUGAUUAUCUCAUUAGGGGCUUGGCCCUGAAACACCUUAUUUAUUGUGGAUUGAAAAAAGUUCACCUUUUCAAGCAAAAAAAAAAAAAAAAAAAAAACAGAAGAAAUAAAUAAAAGAACCAGACUGUAGUUUCCCUGGAAAAUUUUCGCUUGUGGGAAAAUACCUCCCUGGCCCGUAGAGAGACGCCAUCACCAACAGUGUGGAGUUAUCAGAUGGGACUGGUCCAGCUUUGUGGGGCCGGGGCACACAGUGCCAAUGUCCAGGUAGUUUCCAAACCGUGUUUUGUUUCCUCUGUCCUCUUUAUAAACCCACGGAUUGAACCUCAUGGGCCCACAAGUUCCUGAUUGCUUCGUAUAUAUUGUACAGAUUUUUUCAGGAAAAUAAAAUAGAUCUUGCUCUACCCUGACAGAGC